AUUGAACGCUGGCGGCAGGCCUAACACAUGCAAGUCGAAUGGUAACAGGAAACAGCUUGCUGUUUCGCUGACGAGUGGCGGACGGGUGAGUAAUGUCUGGGAAACUGCCUGAUGGAGGGGGAUAACUACUGGAAACGGUAGCUAAUACCGCAUAACGUCGCAAGACCAAAGAGGGGGACCUUCGGGCCUCUUGCCAUCAGAUGUGCCCAGAUGGGAUUAGCUAGUAGGUGGGGUAACGGCUCACCUAGGCGACGAUCCCUAGCUGGUCUGAGAGGAUGACCAGCCACACUGGAACUGAGACACGGUCCAGACUCCUACGGGAGGCAGCAGUGGGGAAUAUUGCACAAUGGGCGCAAGCCUGAUGCAGCCAUGCCGCGUGUAUGAAGAAGGCCUUCGGGUUGUAAAGUACUUUCAGCGGGGAGGAAGGGAGUAAAGUUAAUGCCUUUGCUCAUUGACGUUACCCGCAGAAGAAGCACCGGCUAACUCCGUG
RNAcentral lists this ribosomal RNA (490 nucleotides) under uncultured bacterium. RNAcentral describes it as "partial 16S ribosomal RNA". It matches the Rfam family "Bacterial small subunit ribosomal RNA", at positions 30 to 507 of the family's 1533-position model. The record is from RNAcentral.